GGCAGUUUUAUAAGUCAGAUGUGAAAUCCCCGAGCUCAACUUGGGAACUGCGUUUGAAACUGUAAGACUAGAGUGUGUCAGAGGGGGGUAGAAUUCCAAGUGUAGCAGUGAAAUGCGUAGAGAUUUGGAGGAAUACCAAUGGCGAAGGCAGCCCCCUGGGAUAACACUGACGCUCAUGCACGAAAGCGUGGUGAGCAAACAGGAUUAGAUACCCUGGUAGUCCACGCCCUAAACGAUGUCUACUAGUUGUUGGUGGAGUAAAAUCCAUGAGUAACGCAGCUAACGCGUGAAGUAUACCGCCUGGGGAGUACGGUCGCAAGAUUAAAACUCAAAUGAAUUGACGGGGGCCCGCACAAGCGGUGGAUUAUGUGGAUUAAUUCGAUGCAACGCGAAAAACCUUACCUGGCCUUGACAUGUACCGAAUUUAGCAGAGAUGCUUUAGUGCUCGAAAGAGAACGGUAACACAGGUGCUGCAUGGCUGUCGUCAGCUCGUGUCGUGAGAUGUUGGGUUAAGUCCCGCAACGAGCGCAACCCUUGCCAUUAAUUGCCAUCAUUUAGUUGGGCACUUUAAUGGGACUGCCGGUGACAAACCGGAGGAAGGUGGGGAUGACGUCAAGUCCUCAUGGCCCUUAUGGCCAGGGCUUCACACGUAAUACAAUGGUCGGUACAGAGGGAAGCCAACCCGCGAGGGGGAGCCAAUCUCAGAAAGCCGGUCGUAGUCCGGAUUGUUGUCUGCAACUCGACAGCAUGAAGUCGGAAUCGCUAGUAAUCGCGGAUCAGCAUGUCGCGGUGAAUACGUUCCCGGGCCUUGUACACACCGCCCGUCACACCAUGGGAGUGGGUUUUACCAGAAGUAGUUAGUCUAUCCGCAAGGGGGACGAUUACCACGGUAGGAUUCAUGACUGGGGUGAAGUCGUAACAAGGUAGCCG
RNAcentral lists this ribosomal RNA (930 nucleotides) under uncultured bacterium. RNAcentral's name for it is "bacterial SSU rRNA". It matches the Rfam family "Bacterial small subunit ribosomal RNA", at positions 574 to 1502 of the family's 1533-position model. The record is from RNAcentral.